RNAcentral lists this ribosomal RNA (463 nucleotides) under uncultured bacterium. Its description in RNAcentral is "partial 16S ribosomal RNA". It matches the Rfam family "Bacterial small subunit ribosomal RNA", at positions 28 to 523 of the family's 1533-position model. The record is from RNAcentral.
GAUGAACGCUGGCGGUAUGCUUUACACAUGCAAGUCAUACGGAAGUUAGUUUCGGCUAACUUCAGUGGCGGACGGGUGAGUAACACGUGAGAAUUCGCCUUUAGGAGGGGGAUAACAGGGGGGAACACCUGCUAAAACCCCAUAUGCCUUCGGGUCAAAAGAGAAAUCUGCCUAAAGAGAAGCUCGCGGCUGAUUAGCUAGUUGGUGGGGUAAAGGCCUACCAAGGCGACGAUCAGUAGCUGGUCUGAGAGGAUGAUCAGCCACACUGGAACUGAGACACGGUCCAGACUCCUACGGGAGGCAGCAGUGAGGAAUUUUCUGCAAUGGGCGAAAGCCUGACAGGGCAAUACCGCGUGAGGGAAGAAGGCUUACUGAGUUGUAAACCUCUGUUACCUAAGGAGGAAGAUCUGACGUUACUUAGGAGACGAAGCAUCGGCUAACUCCGUGCCAGCCGCCGCGGUAA